Molecule: long non-coding RNA, 1115 nt
Filed under: Mus spicilegus (steppe mouse)
Lineage: Eukaryota; Metazoa; Chordata; Mammalia; Rodentia; Muridae
Description: lncRNA (ENSMSIG00000026315.1)
Source: RNAcentral
CUAAUAGUGCCACUCCCUGGGCCAAGCAUUUCAAAUGACCACACCUUCCAGGACAUCCCUCAGCCCCAGCACACAGAGAUGGUUUGCCUUUACACGUGGAGACCCCGGAAGAAAAGCCAAUGGUGAUAGGGGCAGAGUGGAUGAGCUUCACAAGAGUGUCCUCACACCCGAGGUGCUGCGAAGUCCUCUGGGUGUCAGCGCACAGCAGGGAGGUGGCAAACAGGGAGGAAGUGACAGAUUGUGCCCUUUGUUCUCAGAGCAUCCUUGGAGUAUCCACAGAAAGGAGCUGGUUUCUUCUUCUCUGGAGUGUGAAAGAUUCCUUUGAGAAACCACCAAACCUGCACAUUCUCUGGGGUGCCCUGCCAGGCAGCGGCCCUUCUGGGCUAUGGCAUCUUUCAUUUCCCACAAGAUAAUGACAGUGGACUGUGACUGAGCUGUUCUCAGCAGUUCUCACUGGGACUCAGAGUAAAGAUAAGUGAUGUUUGAUUACAGCACAGCAAACAUGGAAUAGUCCCCACGUGUCGGUUGGAGAGCUCAUGUCCCCAGCCUGCUGAUUAGUGCUGCAGCUAAAGAGAGAGACAUGAGUCCUUUAUAACCUAAGGCAAAAUAUGAAGCUAGGACUGGAUGUUGUUGUCAACAUUAACCCCGGCCUAAGCACAAGCUAUGAGAUGGGGCCGAGCAGCAUACGUGACCCUCACACCUGAAUUUCAAAUGCUCAUCCCUAACCAAAGAGUCAGAGAUUCAUGGCUAAUGGACAACUCCAAGACAGGGGCAGAACACUACAAGCUGUUUGGUGUAUCCUGUAGUGUCAUGAAGUGAAGAUCUUCUAAAGAAAGACUAGAAAUCAUAAAGUACAGCUGUUCAAGUCAGAGGCAGGAGAGAGAGAGAGAGAGAGACAGAGACAGAGACACAGAGAGAGAGAGAGAGAGACAGAAAGAGAGAGAGAAAAGAGAGAGAGAGCACAGAGGCUGAAGCUGCAGUAAUCGAAGCACCUAUCUAGUAAAGCAGUGGCAGUACCAAACUGAGGCGAAGAGCAGCCAUUGGCACAGCCAUGCUGAUGCCCAUGACGCAAGAAAUGUCGGGGAGAGGAUGGGACGCUCAGGUGACCUCCAAAA